Molecule: long non-coding RNA, 228 nt
Organism: Suncus etruscus (white-toothed pygmy shrew)
Lineage: Eukaryota; Metazoa; Chordata; Mammalia; Eulipotyphla; Soricidae
Exons: 3
Source: RefSeq, a predicted model, not a curated record
UGAUGGCAUUUCUGAACGACCUGCCGGACUGGGUGCUGGUGGAGAUCUUCUCGCUCCUCCCGGUGCGGGAGCGGGUCCGCAAUGCCAGGGUCUGCCGCCGCUGGAAGAGGCUCUUGCGCGACCCCUUGAUGUGGCGACACGUCGAUCUGACACUCCAGGAGAUGCGCCCCAAGAUCAUCUGGCAUGUCCUCCGUCGCUACAUAGGGUCCAAGCUGCUGUCCCUGCACC